RNAcentral lists this long non-coding RNA (3880 nucleotides) under Canis lupus familiaris (dog). RNAcentral describes it as "lncRNA (ENSCAFG00030016080.1)". The record is from RNAcentral. Lineage: Eukaryota; Metazoa; Chordata; Mammalia; Carnivora; Canidae.
UGUGUGUGACGGCCCAGCUAUUAGGGCCUGGGGGGCGGGGCCCAAGAGCUGUUGAUUCAACAUUUACAACAGCAGUUACAACAGCAUCUUCCAGCCAGUCUGUUGACUCUGGCCUCUGCCUGAGGUCUGGGUCCAGGCACACAGGGGGUGGCAAGGGUUCUGCAGUUCUCGUCCAUCCCCUCCUGAGUGUGAGCUGUGAGCAUCCUGUGACCUGGGGGCUCAGGCAGCCUGCAGAACCCUUCUGAAAUCUGAAGGGGCAGCACAAUGUGGAGGAGGGGGGAGCUCAGGACAGCUGGGGCAACGGGGCCCUAUUCGGUCUCAAGGAGUCUCGCAGCCUGCAUCUUCUCCCCACUGCACCCCGAGUUCCCCAUUGGCAUGGUGAAGGGGCUGAGUGGAUGCCUGAUGGCCUGACACUGGGAUGUAGGAUUGUGCUCUCUCUCUGUCCCUUUCUUUGUCUCUCUCUCUCUCUCUUCUCAUUAAGACGGCCAGACAACAGUUUGAGCAAACCAAGGAGAGCCCUAGCCCUUUUUAUUACUUCUCUGAGGACAAAAUUUGUAGGCCAAGGGGAAACCUAGUCAUUGUGCCCUUUUGUCUUUCUGAAUUACUCCCUAAUCUAUCUAUUAAAAAACAACCUCAAGCAGGAUCCUAAAUAAAUGGGCUUUAAGCAAGGGAAUUAUCGAUGUGAUUCAUUCUCCCUCAGGGCAGAUAUGCAAUUUAUCUUUCAGCAAAGCACAUAGUGGCUUAACAUAUUGAGCCUCAGAACAAUGGCCAUUAGUCCCGACUGUCCCUCAGGAGGAAGAAGCAGCGUUACUGAGUCAGUGCCGGGGCUCUGACCCCAUUACGGUCUUCUCUGGGGGAGCUCCCAUAAUGGUGACAUCUUAACUAAAAUGGGCUGGGCCAGUGGACAGGCCUGGUAAAGGGGGCACACAGUGUGGCCAGGGGCUGAGCAGAGCCAGGCGAGGGGUGAACCCCUCCUUCUCAUGGAGAUGGCAGGGGCUGCUCCUCAGGAGCCUGUGUAGAUUGACUUGCUCCCAUCCACCCCAUCUCCUUGCAGAUUGCUGCAAGGAGGACUCCCCAACCCCCCUGUGCCCUAGGGGCCUUCACUCCUUGAGUUUGCUGUGCCCUGAAGGGAUGUGGGGCAGGGGGAGGGGUGGGGUUGAGGGGUGAUAUGUUAGUGGUUGGCCUGACUUUGGCACCUAUGCACUUGGCCCCGGGGCAGCUGCUGCCCUACUCAUCCACCACCCCUGAAUCAUGGGCUGGAACAGGGCCAGGGACGUGGGAUUGAACCCAUUCUUCUCUUCGGUUUCCGGAGAUGGCUGCAAUCUGCUCUUCUGAGCGCUCCUAGCCCAACCGCCUCACCCCCGCUAGGCCUGGUCAGGUACAGUGUGCUUUCCUCGCUGGCCCGGGGCAGCACUGCCUGCACCCCGCUCUGCCCAGCACAGCCCUGCGUUCCCGACGCCCAGCAUCCAGGGGCCUGUGGUGCAAUGUUGGUGUUACCGGCUGGAUUAUGAGUAAACUUUUCCUGAAUCAUAGAACCUUGUGGAAACAGAACCCCUUGGCAAUUUAAAUCAUUAUCAGAGGGAUGCUUGGGUGGCUCAGUGAUUGAGCGUCUACCUUUAGCUCAGGUCCUGAUCCAGGGUCCUGGGAUCGAGUCCCACAUCGGGCUCCUUGCGGGGAACCUGCUUCUCCCUCUGCCUACGUCUCUGCCUCUCUCUGUAUCUCUCACGAAUAAAUAAAUAAAAUCUUAAAAAAAAAAAGCGUUCUCAGAACCGAAGAAUUAUAGAUCAACAGAACCUCAAGUUUGGAAAAGAGUUUUAAAGAUUCCUUCCAGCACAGAGGUCUUGUCUGCCUGCUUUCCUCGCCUGCUGUCUCCUUGAAAGGAAGCUUGUCCUUGUGGUAGAUAUUCCCAGCGCUUCUCCUUUCCUUCCUGGAUCCGUGGGUGUCCUCACUUUGCAGUUCCUUUGCAGUUAGGAAGGGCAGCGUGGUGUUUCUGGCCUGUGAAAUACGAGCAAGCGCAGUGUGUCGGAUUCUGGGUGGAGGCAGUGAGGAGCCCCUGGGUCGCUCUGUCUUCCUCUUGGCACUGAUGAGGACAGGUUUGUGCUGAGAUGAGAGAGCCACAAAUCAGAGCCACCUGGGUCACUCAGACUUUGCACAGAGGACGGUGCCCUGGUGAGGCCUGAGCCACAGCAGCCUCUGCAUGAGCUAGAGAUAAACUUGAUGAGACUUGGGGGCUGUUACCACUGUAUAAUGUAGCCUGUCCCUGGCUGUGAUGCUGUGAUUUAUAAUAAGAAAUAUGUGUAUUUAUAUUUGGUCUUUGUCCCAUUUCUGACACAAAGCUCCUAAAUUCCUUGGAAUCUUCUAAGGGAUAUAAGCCCUAAAGAUGUCUUUUGUUAGGUUGAUGAGGCCAUUCUUGGGCCACACCUAGGGUUGGGGGCUGGUUGCCAUUGGAGCCAACUGAACUACAGUUCUGCUCUCCAGCCUUUGGGGUGGAGGAAGCAGUGUGAGGUUGAGGUCAGUCACCAGUGGCCAAUGAUUUAAUCAAACAUGCCUAGGUAACUAAGCCUCCAAAAAACCCUGGAAGAAUGGAGUUCACAGAGCUUCUGAGUUGGUGAACACAUGGAGGUUCAGGGAAAGUGAUGCUCUUGGACAGUGUGGAGACUGUGCCCCUUCCCCACCUCUGGCCCCAUGCAUCUUUUCCAUUUGGCUGUUCCUGAGUUAUAUUCUUUUGUAAUAAACCAGUGAUCUAGUAAGGGAAAUGCUUCUCUGAGUUCUGUGAGCCAUUCUACCAAAUUAAUUGAACCCAAAGAGGGAGUCAUUAAAACCUCGUUGUAUAGCUGGUUGUCAGAAGCACAGGUGACAAGCUGGGUUUGCAGCUGGUGUCUGAAGGUGGGGAGGGGCAGUCUUGAAGGGCUGAGCCUUAGAAGUGGAAUCCAAUGCUAUUUUCAGGUAGAUAGUAUCAGAACUGAGUUGCCUUUGUAGGACACCCCACUAGUGUCUGGAGCGUUGCUCAUUCAUGGUAGGGGAAACCUACCCACCUUGGAAUUGGUACCAGAACCCCAAAUAUUGGCUAACAUACCUAGCCCGUAUUCCAAACUUCUAGGCACGGGAAUUCACCGUGACUGCGGCUUUUGGGUUCACUGCUGAGCAACUGUCAGACGUAGAAUUCUUUUUUCCUUCAAACUGAAAUCUGUUUCCUCAAAACUGCCUGGUUGCUCACUCCGAGUAGGUGAAAUUCAUCUUUGUAGUUUCCUUGUGGGUUCCCUGGGACUCUCCUUUCUCUCGUGCCAAUAGUUCUCACACUUUAACGUGCAUCACUUGGAGGGCUUGUUAAAAUAUAGUUUGCUGGGCUCCAUCCCCAGUUUCUGAUUCAGUAGGUUUGGGGCAGGACCUGGCGAUUUGCAUUUAAAAAAAUUUUUUUAUUAUUAUUAUUUUUUUGCAAUUUGCAUUUUUAAUAAGUUCCCAGGGAUUGCUACCACUGGUGGUCUGGGGACCACACUUUGAGAAUAAUUGCACUGUGCUGCCUGCUAGAUCUCUCCAGGGGCCUGCCUGCACCCCGCCCCCCACCCCACGUUGGACGUAGCUACAGAGGGAUCCUGAUGUGCCACAUCCUGUAGAACAGAACCCCGUGCUUUGAUCCUCCCAUAUUUGAGAUGGAACGGUCUGAGCCUGGCUCUGUCCUUUCCUUGGGCUGUGAGACUCCCUGGGCAUGGCCCAUGAUGUAGUCAUCUCUAUGGCCCUCUGCUUGACACCAGGCAGUCACAGCAGUAAGUAGGCGCUCAGUGAACGCUUACUGAGUGGAUGGAACGCCUUAUUCUCACCUCUGAAAUCUCUAAUCUUUAAGCUUUUUGUACAGAGACCCCUUUGGAACUCAAACUGCCCU